ACGGAAGGCAGCAGUGGGGAAUAUUGGACGAUGGGGGAAACCCUGAUCCAGCGACGCCGCGUGAGUGAAGACGUAUUUCGGUAUGUAAAGCUCUAUCAGCAAGGAAGAACAUGACGGUACUUGACUAGGAAGCUCCGGCUAAAUACGUGCCAGCAGCCGCGGUAAUACGUAUGGAGCAAGCGUUAUCCGGAUUUACUGGGUGUAAAGGGAGCGUAGACGGCAAAGCAAGUCUGAAGUGAAAUCCCGGGGCUCAACCCCGGAACUGCUUUGGAAACUGUAGAACUAGAGUGCAGGAGAGGUAAGCGGAAUUCCUAGUGUAGCGGUGAAAUGCGUAGAUAUUAGGAGGAACACCAGUGGCGAAGGCGGCUUACUGGACUGUAACUGACGUUGAGGCUCGAAGGCGUGGGGAGCAAACAGGAUUAGAUACCCUGGUA
This 434-nucleotide ribosomal RNA is filed under the name uncultured Lachnospiraceae bacterium. Its description in RNAcentral is "partial 16S ribosomal RNA". It matches the Rfam family "Bacterial small subunit ribosomal RNA", at positions 341 to 792 of the family's 1533-position model. The record is from RNAcentral. Lineage: Bacteria; Bacillati; Bacillota; Clostridia; Lachnospirales; Lachnospiraceae.